RNAcentral lists this ribosomal RNA (502 nucleotides) under uncultured Desulfobulbus sp. RNAcentral's name for it is "bacterial SSU rRNA". It matches the Rfam family "Bacterial small subunit ribosomal RNA", at positions 916 to 1381 of the family's 1533-position model. The record is from RNAcentral. Lineage: Bacteria; Pseudomonadati; Thermodesulfobacteriota; Desulfobulbia; Desulfobulbales; Desulfobulbaceae.
UACAGAAACGUACAAAGGAAAGUUACGACGGGGCCCGGCGACAAGCGGUGGAGUAUGUGGUUUAAUUCGAUGCAACGCGAAGAACCUUACCUGGUCUUGACAUCCCGGAGACCCUUAGGAAACUAGGGGUGCUUCCAUCUGGAAGAAUCUGGAGACAGGUGCUGCAUGGCUGUCGUCAGCUCGUGUCGUGAGAUGUUGGGUUAAGUCCCGCAACGAGCGCAACCCUCGCCUUUAGUUGCCAGCAGUUCGGCUGGGCACUCUAAAGGGACUGCCGGUGUUAAACCGGAGGAAGGUGGGGAUGACGUCAAGUCCUCAUGGCCUUUAUGACCAGGGCUACACACGUACUACAAUGGCCGAUACAAAGGGCAGCGACACUGCGAGGUGAAGCCAAUCCCGUAAAAUCGGUCUCAGUCCGGAUUGGAGUCUGCAACUCGACUCCAUGAAGUUGGAAUCGCUAGUAAUCGUGGAUCAGCAUGCCACGGUGAAUACGUUCCCGGGCCUU